RNAcentral lists this ribosomal RNA (586 nucleotides) under uncultured bacterium. RNAcentral describes it as "partial 16S ribosomal RNA". It matches the Rfam family "Bacterial small subunit ribosomal RNA", at positions 355 to 1375 of the family's 1533-position model. The record is from RNAcentral.
UGGGGAAUUUUGGACAAUGGGCGAAAGCCUGAUCCAGCAAUGCCGCGUGUGUGAAGAAGGCCUUCGGGUUGUAAAGCACUUUUGUCCGGAAAGAAAUCCUUGGCUCUAAUACAGUCGGGGGAUGACGGUACCGGAAGAAUAAGCACCGGCUAACUACGUGCCAGCAGCCGCGGUAAUACGUAGGGUGCAAGCGUUAAUCGGAAUUACUGGGCGUAAAGCGUGCGCAGGCGGUUUGCUAAGACCGAUGUGAAAUCCCCGGGCUCAACCUGGGAACUGCAUUGGUGACUGGCAGGCUAGAGUAUGGCAGAGGGGGGUAGAAUUCCACGUGUAGCAGUGAAAUGCGUAGAGAUGUGGAGGAAUACCGAUGGCGAAGGCGAGCCCCUGGGCAAUACUGACGCUCAUGCACGAAAGCGUGGGGGAGCAAACAGGAUUAGAUACCCUGGUAGUCCACGCCCUAAACGAUGUCAACUAGUUGUUGGGGAUUCAUUUCCUUAGUAACGUAGCUAACGCGUGAAGUUGACCGCCUGGGGGAGUACGGUCGCAAGAUUAAAACUCAAAUGAAUUGACGGGGUCAUAGCUGUUUCCU